GUGGGGAAUCUUCCGCAAUGGACGAAAGUCUGACGGAGCAACGCCGCGUGAGUGAAGAAGGUUUUCGGAUCGUAAAGCUCUUUCGUUAGGGACGAACGUGCUCUUUGUGAAUAAUGAGGAGUAAUGACGGUACCUAAAUAAGAAGCCACGGCUAACUACGUGCCAGCAGCCGCGGUAAUACGUAGGUGGCAAGCGUUGUCCGGAAUUAUUGGGCGUAAAGCGCGCGCAGGCGGGAUAUCAAGUCUGUCUUAAAAGUGCGAGGCUCAACCUCGUGAGGGGACAGAAACUGGUAUUCUUGAGUGUCGGAGAAGAAAGUGGAAUUCCAAGUGUAGCGGUGAAAUGCGUAGAGAUUUGGAAGAACACCAGUGGCGAAAGCGACUUUCUGGACGAAAACUGACGCUGAGGCGCGAAAGCCAGGGGAGCGAACGGGAUUAGAAACCCCGGUAGUCC
This 450-nucleotide ribosomal RNA is filed under the name uncultured bacterium. RNAcentral's name for it is "partial 16S ribosomal RNA". It matches the Rfam family "Bacterial small subunit ribosomal RNA", at positions 354 to 796 of the family's 1533-position model. The record is from RNAcentral.